UACGGAAGGGGCGAGCGUUGUUCGGAAUCAUUGGGCGUAAAGGGCGCGUAGGUGGUUCUGUAUGUCUGCCGUGAAAGGGUACAGCUUAACUGUAGCUUGUCGGUAGAAACUGCAGGACUUGAGGCUGGGAGGGGCUGGUGGAAUUCCCUGUGUAGCGGUGAAAUGCGUAGAGAUGGGGGAGAACACUCGUGGCGAAGGCGGCCAGCUAGACCAGUUCUGACACUGAGGCGCGACAGCGUGGGGAGCAAACAGG
This 253-nucleotide ribosomal RNA is filed under the name uncultured bacterium. RNAcentral describes it as "partial 16S ribosomal RNA". It matches the Rfam family "Bacterial small subunit ribosomal RNA", at positions 524 to 776 of the family's 1533-position model. The record is from RNAcentral.